Molecule: ribozyme, 117 nt
Filed under: Aedes aegypti (yellow fever mosquito)
Lineage: Eukaryota; Metazoa; Arthropoda; Insecta; Diptera; Culicidae
Description: drz-agam-1 ribozyme
Rfam family: drz-agam-1 ribozyme
Source: Rfam by way of RNAcentral
UGCCCAGCAACUCCUAUCCCUACCUCCUCGCGGUACUGGCCGGGGUACGAGUAACCUUGGGGAAGAUCGGGUAACCAACCCCAGGUGGGAACUUUGGUCGUAUGCUGACAGGGAAGG